Non-coding RNA from Favolaschia claudopus, 84 nucleotides. Lineage: Eukaryota; Fungi; Basidiomycota; Agaricomycetes; Agaricales; Mycenaceae. The record is from the annotation of a GenBank genome assembly.
GGUUCCAUAGCUCAGUGGUAGAGCAUCAGAACAAUAUCCAGACGGAAACUGGAGAGGUCCUGGGUUCGAAUCCCAGUGGAAUCA